RNAcentral lists this long non-coding RNA (589 nucleotides) under Salvia miltiorrhiza (redroot sage). Its description in RNAcentral is "long non-coding RNA (SMIL_LNC001205)". The record is from RNAcentral. Lineage: Eukaryota; Viridiplantae; Streptophyta; Magnoliopsida; Lamiales; Lamiaceae.
AAUUUUGAGUAGCUUGACAUAUAUAUUUAUUCAUUUAUUUGUAUAACAGAAGUAAAUGUACAAUAAUUAUUUUUCCAUCAUUACAAGAAAAAACUAGCACAACCAAUAAAAGUGUAACAUUCGACAGGUACCGUAGCUAGAUUGUGGAUAUCUUUCUCUAGGAGAAGAGUUAAGCUUAAUGGGUGAAAGUAAGGGAGUUUUUCAACAAAUUUAUUAUUUUAUUAUGUAGCUACAUAAAAGGGAAGUGAUUACGAAAACGAGGGUAGAGUGUGAAAAAAGAUUGAGAUUGUGCUGGUGGAACUUUGUGUAUAUCAACUUUAAUCUCCGUCGCCGCCGCCGCGAGGUGUAGAAGGACGAGGCGGUGAUCGCCCUGGUGUAGAAGGACGCGGGGGCGAUACCCGUGGGGGUGGAGGAGAAGGAGGAGGUGGAGGUGAGGGAGGGGUGGGGUGGAGGAGAGUGGUGGUGGCGGAGAAGGCGGUGGUGGUGAGGGUGGAGGGGGCGGAGGUGAAGGUGGUGGGGGUGACGGUGGUGGUGGCGAACGUGGGGUGGGGGUGUGAAGGUGGUGGUGGCGGCGAACGUGGGGGUGGGG